GGAUGUGAGGUGAUCUGGCUGCAACAUCUGUCACCCCAUUGAUCGCAGGGUUGAUUUGGCUGAUCUGGCUGGCCGGCAGGUGUCCUCUUCCUUCCUUACCGCCCCAGGUGUGUCCCUCCCGAAGCUGUGAUCUGGAUAGAAGAGGGGGACCCCCCCCAAGAGGAGGACCUAGGUCAAGGGUAUACGAGUAGCUGCGCUCCCCUGCUAGAACCUCCAAACAAGCUCUCAAAAAGUCAGUGCCAUGAGGGAAAAGGUAGAAAAACUAUUGUAGAAUAAGAGACUAAAGAGAUGUAAAAGCCAAAAGCAGUGCUC
This is an unclassified non-coding RNA of Fukomys damarensis (Damara mole-rat), 312 nucleotides long. Its record names the gene 7SK. It matches the Rfam family "7SK RNA". Rfam says of the family: 7SK was discovered as an abundant small nuclear RNA in the mid-70s but a possible function has only recently been suggested. Lineage: Eukaryota; Metazoa; Chordata; Mammalia; Rodentia; Bathyergidae. The record is from Ensembl.